GAUGAACGCUGGCGGCGUGCCUAAUACAUGCAAGUCGAGCGAACAGAUAAGGAGCUUGCUCCUUUGACGUUAGCGGCGGACGGGUGAGUAACACGUGGGUAACCUACCUAUAAGACUGGGAUAACUUCGGGAAACCGGAGCUAAUACCGGAUAAUAUUUCGAACCGCAUGGUUCGAUAGUGAAAGAUGGUUUUGCUAUCACUUAUAGAUGGACCCGCGCCGUAUUAGCUAGUUGGUAAGGUAACGGCUUACCAAGGCGACGAUGCGUAGCCGACCUGAGAGGGUGAUCGGCCACACUGGAACUGAGACACGGUCCAGACUCCUACGGGAGGCAGCAGUAGGGAAUCUUCCGCAAUGGGCGAAAGCCUGACGGAGCAACGCCGCGUGAGUGAUGAAGGUCUUCGGAUCGUAAAACUCUGUUAUUAGGGAAGAACAUACGUGUAAGUAACUGUGCACGUCUUGACGGUACCUAAUCAGAAAGCCACGGCUAACUACGUG
RNAcentral lists this ribosomal RNA (497 nucleotides) under uncultured bacterium. RNAcentral's name for it is "partial 16S ribosomal RNA". It matches the Rfam family "Bacterial small subunit ribosomal RNA", at positions 28 to 507 of the family's 1533-position model. The record is from RNAcentral.